This 368-nucleotide unclassified non-coding RNA is filed under the name soil metagenome. RNAcentral's name for it is "partial contains 5.8S ribosomal RNA, internal transcribed spacer 2, and large subunit ribosomal RNA". The stretch from base 1 to 120 matches the Rfam family "5.8S ribosomal RNA", at positions 35 to 154 of the family's 154-position model. The record is from RNAcentral.
GAUGAAGAACGCAGCGAAAUGCGAUAAGUAAUGUGAAUUGCAGAAUUCAGUGAAUCAUCGAAUCUUUGAACGCACAUUGCGCCCGCCAGUAUUCUGGCGGGCAUGCCUGUUCGAGCGUCAUUUCAACCCUCAAGCCCUGCUUGGUGUUGGGGAUCGGCGUUGCCUCCUCCGUCGUUCGCGGCGGGGUGAGGUCGCCGCCCCCGAAAUGAAUUGGCGGUCUCGUCGCAGCUUUCCUUUGCGUAGUAACAUACCACCUCGCAACCAGGAGCGCGGCGCGGCCACUGCCGUAAAACGCCCAACUUUUUCAAGAGUUGACCUCGAAUCAGGUAGGAAUACCCGCUGAACUUAAGCAUAUCAUAAGCGGAGGA